UUGAACGCUGGCGGUAGGCCUAACACAUGCAAGUCGAACGGCAGCACAGGAGAGCUUGCUCUCUGGGUGGCGAGUGGCGGACGGGUGAGGAAUACAUCGGAAUCUACUUUUUCGUGGGGGAUAACGUAGGGAAACUUACGCUAAUACCGCAUACGACCUACGGGUGAAAGCAGGGGACCUUCGGGCCUUGCGCGAUUGAAUGAGCCGAUGUCGGAUUAGCUAGUUGGCGGGGUAAAGGCCCACCAAGGCGACGAUCCGUAGCUGGUCUGAGAGGAUGAUCAGCCACACUGGAACUAAGACACGGUCCAGACUCCUACGGGAGGCAGCAGUGGGGAAUAUUGGACAAUGGGCGCAAGCCUGAUCCAGCCAUACCGCGUGGGUGAAGAAGGCCUUCGGGUUGUAAAGCCCUUUUGUUGGGAAAGAAAUCCAGCCGGUUAAUACCUGGUUGGGAUGACGGUACCCAAAGAAUAAGCACCGGCUAACUUCGUGCCAGCCGCCGCAGUAA
This 505-nucleotide ribosomal RNA is filed under the name uncultured bacterium. Its description in RNAcentral is "partial 16S ribosomal RNA". It matches the Rfam family "Bacterial small subunit ribosomal RNA", at positions 30 to 523 of the family's 1533-position model. The record is from RNAcentral.